Molecule: ribosomal RNA, 253 nt
Filed under: uncultured bacterium
Lineage: Bacteria
Description: partial 16S ribosomal RNA
Rfam family: Bacterial small subunit ribosomal RNA
Source: RNAcentral
GACAGAGGGUGCAAACGUUGUUCGGAAUUACUGGGCGUAAAGCGCGUGUAGGCGGCCCUGCAAGUCGGGUGUGAAAUCCCACGGCUCAACCGUGGAAGUGCACUCGAAACUGCAAGGCUAGAGUCCUGGAGAGGAAGGUGGAAUGCUUGGUGUAGAGGUGAAAUUCGUAGAUAUCAAGCGGAACACCGAUGGCGAAGGCAGUUCUCUGGGCCGUAACUGACGCUGAGGAGCGAAAGCGUGGGGAGCGAACAGG